CAGGGAAUCUUGCGCAAUGGGCGAAAGCCUGACGCAGCAACGCCGCGUGGGGGAUGACGGCCUUCGGGUUGUAAACCCCUUUCAGGAGGGAAGAAAUUGACGGUACCUCCAGAAGAAGCCCCGGCCAACUACGUGCCAGCAGCCGCGGUAAUACGUAGGGGGCAAGCGUUGUCCGGAAUUAUUGGGCGUAAAGAGCUCGUAGGCGGCUCAGCAAGUCGGCUGUGAAAUCCCGAGGCUCAACCUCGGAACUGCAGUCGAUACUGCUGUGGCUAGAGUCUGGUAGAGGAGAAUGGAAUUCCCGGUGUAGCGGUGAAAUGCGCAGAUAUCGGGAGGAACACCAGUAGCGAAGGCGGUUCUCUGGGCCAGUACUGACGCUGAGGAGCGAAAGCGUGGGGAGCAAACAGG
This 405-nucleotide ribosomal RNA is filed under the name Candidatus Actinomarinales bacterium. RNAcentral's name for it is "bacterial SSU rRNA". It matches the Rfam family "Bacterial small subunit ribosomal RNA", at positions 355 to 776 of the family's 1533-position model. Lineage: Bacteria; Bacillati; Actinomycetota; Actinomycetes; Candidatus Actinomarinales. RNAcentral also lists the same sequence under 1 other name. The record is from RNAcentral.